This 472-nucleotide ribosomal RNA is filed under the name uncultured bacterium. RNAcentral's name for it is "partial 16S ribosomal RNA". It matches the Rfam family "Bacterial small subunit ribosomal RNA", at positions 30 to 507 of the family's 1533-position model. The record is from RNAcentral.
AGUGAACGCUGGCGGUAGGCCUAACACAUGCAAGUCGAACGGCAGCACAGUAAGAGCUUGCUCUUACGGGUGGCGAGUGGCGGACGGGUGAGGAAUACAUCGGAAUCUACUUUUUCGUGGGGGAUAACGUAGGGAAACUUACGCUAAUACCGCAUACGACCUACGGGUGAAAGCAGGGGAUCUUCGGACCUUGCGCGAUUGAAUGGGCCGAUGUCGGACUAGCUAGUUGGUGGGGUAAAGGCCCACCAAGGCGACGAUGGGUAGCUGGUCUGAGAGGAUGACCGGACAAAUUGGGACGGAGAUACGGACCAGAACCCGACGGGAGGCAGAAGUGGGGAAUAUUGCACAAUGGGCGGAAGCCUGAGGCAGCAACGCCGCGUGCGGGAUGACGGCCUUCGGGUUGUAAACAGCUUGCGCCUGGGACGAAGCGUGAGUGACGGUAAUGGGUAAAGAAGCACCGGCUAACUACGUG